AUUGAACGCUGGCGGCAGGCCUAACACAUGCAAGUCGAACGGAUGAAGGGAGCUUGCUCCUGGAUUCAGCGGCGGACGGGUGAGUAAUGCCUAGGAAUCUGCCUGGUAGUGGGGGAUAACGUCCGGAAACGGGUGCUAGUACCGCAUACGUCCUGAGGGAGAAAGUGGGGGAUCUUCGGACCUCACGCUAUCAGAUGAGCCUAGGUCGGAUUAGCUAGUUGGUGGGGUAAAGGCCUACCAAGGCGACGAUCCGUAACUGGUCUGAGAGGAUGAUCAGUCACACUGGAACUGAGACACGGUCCAGACUCCUACGGGAGGCAGCAGUGGGGAAUAUUGGACAAUGGGCGAAAGCCUGAUCCAGCCAUGCCGCGUGUGUGAAGAAGGUCUUCGGAUUGUAAAGCACUUUAAGUUGGGAGGAAGGGCAGUAAGUUAAUACCUUGCUGUUUUGACGUUACCAACAGAAUAAGCACCGGCUAACUUCGUG
Molecule: ribosomal RNA, 484 nt
Filed under: uncultured bacterium
Lineage: Bacteria
Description: partial 16S ribosomal RNA
Rfam family: Bacterial small subunit ribosomal RNA
Source: RNAcentral